This 2332-nucleotide long non-coding RNA is filed under the name Malus domestica (apple). RNAcentral describes it as "long non-coding RNA (MDOM_LNC018226)". The record is from RNAcentral. Lineage: Eukaryota; Viridiplantae; Streptophyta; Magnoliopsida; Rosales; Rosaceae.
AGAUCAUAUCUAAACAUGCUUCUUAACUCUAGAAAUUGCGUUCUUUGUGAUACAUAUAUGUGAGCAUUCGUUUCCAUAUUUACAUCAAUCUUCUCACAUAUGACUAGUGUAGGGUGUGGAGUUAGAAAAUCUGAGUGAAAAUAGAGUGUAUAUCUUGUAAGGAAUUGAGGGAACUCUCUAAGGCAUGUUACUACAUUCAAAGCAUUGUUUUAAUUGAUUACUUGUGAACUAGUGAGUAGUGGCUUUAAUUAAGUAUAUGCUUGUGUAAAGAUGACUCAAAUCUGUAGGGAUAACAACCUUUAACAUGUCAUGUGCAUUGGAAAUCCCUGAGGCAAACGUUGGAAGGUUUAGGUUUUGUUUUGGUUAGUUUGUUUUGUUUUGUUUUCUUUCUUUUGUUUGUUUUGCUCGAGGACUAGCAAAAGCUAAGUGUGGGGGAAUUUGAUAGGAGCAUAUUUAUGCGCCUUAGUUAGCUAGUUCUUACGCAUUUUCGUUAUGUUUUCUUCGUUAAAGUAGUCUUUUAAGCUACUUUCAUGUGUUUUCAGGUUUAAGGGACAUAUUACAUGAAAUGAUGCAAGUUGGAGCUUUUGGAGCAAAAUGUGAGCUUGGAUUGAAAAGGACAUGCUUGGAACACAAGGUUGGGAUGGAAUUGAAGAGUUGAAAAUUCGAGGUUUCCUACUCGAAGUAGGAAAGCUAAGCCUAAAAGUUUCCAUUUUGGGUUGAUCUUUCCUAAAUCGGAAUUGGCAACUAAAGUUUCUAAAGUUGGAAGUUUCUAUUCUUGGAGGUUUCCAUUUUCGUGAGUUUCUAUUCUUGGCUUUGGGCUUUUGGAUGACCCAUCUUCACUUCUUGGACCUAUGCCGCACCUAGGCCUUGUUCACAUGCAAAAAUCUGAUUAUAAACCCUAAGCCUAGUCCAUUAAGGUAGCCGCACCUAACCCUAGCCCAAUCUGAUUUCUUAGGGUUUUAGGUACCNUUUUAAUUGAUUACUUGUGAACUAGUGAGUAGUGGCUUUAAUUAAGUAUAUGCUUGUGUAAAGAUGACUCAAAUCUGUGGGGAUAACAACCUUUAACAUGUCAUGUGCAUUGGAAAUCCCUGAGGCAAACGUUGGAAGGUUUAGGUUUUGUUUUGGUUAGUUUGUUUCGUUUUGUUUUCUUUCUUUUGUUUGUUUUGCUCGAGGACUAGCAAAAGCUAAGUGUGGGGGAAUUUGAUAGGAGCAUAUUUAUGCGCCUUAGUUAGCUAGUUCUUACGCAUUUUCGUUAUGUUUUCUUCGUUAAAGUAGUCUUUUAAGCUACUUUCAUGUGUUUUCAGGUUUAAGGGACAUAUUACAUGAAAUGAUGCAAGUUGGAGCUUUUGGAGCAAAAUGUGAGCUUGGAUUGAAAAGGACAUGCUUGGAACACAAGGUUGGGAUGGAAUUGAAGAGUUGAAAAUUCGAGGUUUCCUACUCGAAGUAGGAAAGCUAAGCCUAAAAGUUUCCAUUUUGGGUUGAUCUUUCCUAAAUCGGAAUUGGCAACUAAAGUUUCUAAAGUUGGAAGUUUCUAUUCUUGGAGGUUUCCAUUUUCGUGAGUUUCUAUUCUUGGCUUUGGGCUUUUGGAUGACCCAUCUUCACUUCUUGGACCUAUGCCGCACCUAGGCCUUGUUCACAUGCAAAAAUCUGAUUAUAAACCCUAAGCCUAGUCCAUUAAGGUAGCCGCACCUAACCCUAGCCCAAUCUGAUUUCUUAGGGUUUUAGGUGCCUAUAUAUAUAUGUUUUACCCCUUAGCCGCACUAUUCACCUCCCAUUCUAAAAAUUAGAAAUCGCCACCACCCAUUGCAGCAACCUUUCCCACCUUUUGCCGCAGCUUCCCUCCAUUCCAGCACCAUUCCACACAUCCAUACACCAUUCUCCACCUCCAUAAACCAUUCCCACACCUUGCCGCACCACCAUACUAUCCUAUCUACCUUUCAAAACCCAAAAACACAUCCAGAAAACUCCAUUCACGCCAGAACCUGUCCCUCACCUUUGCCGAGCCCAACCUUCACCCAACUCCAUAUUUUCUGACCCCAAACCUUCCUAGCCGUGCCCUACACCCAUCCUAGACAUUUUUCCACCAUUCUCCCUCGUCCAAAGUCAUCCAAAACUACCCAAAAAUCCCCUAAACCCUCUCUGCCGCAGCAAGGAGAAGAAGAAAGAGGAGCUUGCUGUGCAGAAUUCAAAGUGGAAUUCUUUGGCAUUUUAGGUGUAAUCUUUCUUAUGUCUUCGAUGUUUCAAUUCAAUAAACUUGGUGUUGUGAGUAUGAGGAACUAAACCCCCUUAGUUGGGGGGUGAUUCGAAACCAUGUACAUGCUUGCAAUUUGAU